RNAcentral lists this unclassified non-coding RNA (384 nucleotides) under rhizosphere metagenome. RNAcentral describes it as "partial ribosomal RNA internal transcribed spacer region". The record is from RNAcentral.
UUCUCCCCUAUUGAAGCCUUUAGCAGCGACUGUAAAUAAAUGUGCAGUUUGCCUUCUGCAAGCAAUGCCACUCAAAUGCUGAGACUAUUGAAUCAGCAGCCUUCUAGGCUCACAGAUCAGAUAGUGGUAACCAAAGCUUUGGUCAAGAUAUGACCGGUCUUAACUAGAGUUAGUUAAGAAUCAACGUUCCGUAGGUGAACCUGCGGAAGGAUCAUUACUAGUUUAGGGUGCUGAUCCAGCGCCCAAACUUCAACCCUUUGACUUAAUCAAUUUGUUUCUUUGCCGGUUUCGGCCGGCAGAAGUUUUUUCAAACUCAUUAGAAAUUUGUCUUCUGAACUUUAAAAAUAAUAAUUAAAACUUUCAACAACGGAUCUCUUGGUUCUG